Molecule: ribosomal RNA, 484 nt
Filed under: uncultured bacterium
Lineage: Bacteria
Description: partial 16S ribosomal RNA
Rfam family: Bacterial small subunit ribosomal RNA
Source: RNAcentral
AUUGAACGCUGGCGGCAGGCCUAACACAUGCAAGUCGAGCGGAUGAAGGGAGCUUGCUCCUGGAUUCAGCGGCGGACGGGUGAGUAAUGCCUAGGAAUCUGCCUGGUAGUGGGGGAUAACGUCCGGAAACGGGCGCUAAUACCGCAUACGUCCUGAGUGAGAAAGUGGGGGAUCUUCGGACCUCACGCUAUCAGAUGAGCCUAGGUCGGAUUAGCUAGUUGGUGGGGUAAAGGCCUACCAAGGCGACGAUCCGUAACUGGUCUGAGAGGAUGAUCAGUCACACUGGAACUGAGACACGGUCCAGACUCCUACGGGAGGCAGCAGUGGGGAAUAUUGGACAAUGGGCGAAAGCCUGAUCCAGCCAUGCCGCGUGUGUGAAGAAGGUCUUCGGAUUGUAAAGCUCUUUAAGUUGGGAGGAAGGGCAGUAAGUUAAUCCCUUGCUGUUUUGACGUUACCAACAGAAUAAGCACCGGCUAACUUCGUG